CAGCGCUAUAACUUUGCUUCUACUGCUUAAACCUCUAUAAAAAUACAGAUUUCCAGAUAGAAUCUAUCACCCUUAUUCUUGUUUACGACGAAUGCGAUAUUCGUUCGGUAGCUAUUCGAAGGAAUAGUACGCCCACUUGAUUUUGCUGUCGUAAACGGGAAUGCAAACCACUUUUGAUCGAAUCUCGCAUUCGUCAUAAACAAGAAUAAGGGUGUAUACUUUAAGAUAAAAGUAUGAAAAAGUUCGACUUUUUGACCGACCUCAUCAUAUAUAAUCCGAAACCCAAUAAUAGGCUCAUUAUCCUACAUAUAAAUAAAGAAAAUCAAUUGUAAAAAAAUCCUAAAAGUGCCAGGAUACAACAUGUGUCUUAAAAACGUAGUGUGUCUUGUCCAUAUUUAAAAAACCUAUUUUAAUCCUCCUAGCGGUGCAAUUGUACCUUUCUCAAUCAUGAAUCACGAGAAUGUGUGCGUUGUUUAUAUUCAUUAAAAGCAUUUAAAUGCAUAUAUUGCAUUUUAUUAAUAUACAUCACAUGACAAAUAUAUACAGAAAAAUAAAUCAUUAUUCGAGUUCUAAAAUUUUGAAAAGGAAAAAACAGCCACGGUAAUAUUGAACUGAAAAAAGGUGGGAAAUCGGCAGUCCCAAAAAGUCGAUUUUUAUAAAAAAAAAUUUCGAUAUAACAUAAAAUCUUGACGUUUCAUGCAUUUUAAGGUUGGACAGAGAAAGGGUAAAAUUCACAAACGAAAAAAGCAGUUUUUUCCACACCGUAUGUCAGAUCUUCAUAAAAAUCAAUCAGCAGUACUGUAACAACAUUCUACAUACGCUGAUUGAUUUUUAUGAAGAUCUGACAUACGGUGUGGAAAAAAAACUGCUUUUUUCGUUUGUGAAUUUUACCCUUUCUCUGUCCAACCUUAAAGAUUUUUGGCUUCAAAAAUACGAAUUCGAUUUCUAAAAUUUCAUGGGGUCCCUCCUUUGAAAAAAAAUUUUGAGUUCCGGCUUAUAUGGGAAUUUCAUAUGUGACCGGACUAUUUAGUCUAUAUUUCCGGACCCAUAUAAGCGAUCCGUACGAAACUUUAUAGACAUCUAUGGGGAUAUUAUAGCUAUCAUUUGGGACUAAGUUUGUGAAAAUCGGCCCAACCAUUUCCGGGAAACUGAUGUGAGUUCGUCAAUUUUGAAAGAUGGCCGCUUUUCCCGGGCACUCCCGGAACCGUCUAUGGUGGUCAAUGUAGUCAACGAACGUUUGGUUGGCCGUCGGUGACCUAGAACAACCAAUUUAAGUUGUUUGAGAGACAUUUUAGCGAAAUUUUUACCUUUUUUGCUUUCAUUGGAGUAUCGGUUUGAAUCACAAUUUGCUAUGUGAUCGCACGCCACUACCUGUAACUCCGGAACCGGAAGUCGGAUCGAGAUGAAAUUAAAUAGCCAUUUACGGGGACGUAAUACCUUUCAUUUGAGGCCAAGUAUAGUCGAAUCGGUCUAGCCAUCUCCGAGAUGACUGUUAUUCAAAUUUAGAUACUUCCGCCGGGGCUUCCGGAACCGAUGAUGGUGGCCAAUGUGGCCAAAUAGACUUUGAAUGGAUGUUAGUGACCUAAUACUACAAAUCGAAGCAGUUGUGGUCAUAUUUUGGAAAAAUUUUCACCUUUAUACAUUCAUUGCAGAAUUUAUUAAAAUCGACAUUUUCUGCGUGUUAGUACUCAUCACCCUGUAAUUUCGGAACCGGAAGUCGGAUCCAUUAUAAAUUCAAUAGCAGCCUAUGGAAACGUUGCACCUUUCAUUUGAGACUAAGUUUGUCAAAAUCGGUUCAGCCAUCUCUGAGAAAAAUGAGUGACAUUUUUGGUCACAUACACACACACAGACGCACAUACACACACAUACAGACACACACAGACAUUUGCCGAACUCGACGAACUGAAUCGAAUGGUAUAUGUCACUCGGCCCUCCGGGCCUCCGUUAAAAAGUCGGUUUUCAGAGCAAUUGCAAUACCUUUCUAUUGAGAAAGGCAAAAAGCGUGAUAUAAUCGAGACAAAACCGUGAUAUAAUCGAGGGUGAUAUAAACGAGUAUUGAUUAAUAUCAUACUACGCAUAGUGAUAUAAUCGAAACAUUACUGUAUAUGAGAGAUUAAUACCGAAUAGAUCGAAGCAUCAAUUGUCUUCCUUGAAUUGUUUAUACCAUUUAUAAUUAUCAAGAUAUUCAAUCUCAAACUUUGAAAAUAGUUUUUCUCGAAAUGUGCAAAAUGGCGUUUGUCAUAAGAUAGCACAACAGCGACGAGAUCAGAUAGAUAAACAACAUCCCUCAUGAUACUGUACCUUGAUGUGGUCUGGGGGCAUUUCCACUAAAGCAGUAUUACAGUGAUGAUAUCACAGAAACUUGGGAUACGAUUAUUUUCUUUUUAGUUAAGCUACAUUGUGAUGAGUUUUAGUACUUAACAUGGCGACCUUUAUUAUCCACUGCCAUGGUCAAAUAAUAUACAAUGUGGGUUUAGGGCCCAAUUCUCUCAGGAGGCACCCUUCUUUUAUUGCUAUAUUUUAAAUUAAAUGCAUGCUAACACUCACUAACACAAAUUGCUUAUUCUCUCAUAUACACUCACAAUCUCAUUCCAAAAGUACAAACGUGGCCUUCGCGAUAACACAAACCUGGUCACAAAUGCAAACGCCCGCGAUGUCACCAAAAUUCAAACAGUAAUUAAGUGAACGUUUGCACCUAAAAAUUUGCUAACGCGGUCUCAAGCAUCAACCCAUCGCUCGCGCAAUCAUGAAUCGGUAACGUCCGCAAGUCUCUACCAUUGAUCCUAGCAGCCCAAACUCAUGCUUUCAGUUGGACCAAGACGUGCACGCGCGAUCAUUGAAGAACACGCGAACAUGCGAAUGGCAUCACGUUUAUAAAAAUAAUGUGUCCUCGCGAUAUUACAAUUCUCGGUCCUAGUAGCAUAAGUCCAAUGCCUUCAGGUAGACCAAUCAAAAAGUUGAUGCUCAUAUCUACCAAACUACACGUUCCAUGGCGACAUAAAAAUCGAACUUAUACUCACGAAGUCACAUACGCGCAACAAACGGACAUACAAACACUGAGAACUGACAUACAAGUAAAGUUUUAAACUUGUGUAAAAAAAAAAAAUUGUCGCUUUGAAAUGACAACAGCAAGUAACAAUUUACCACUGGCCGACGCUGCGAUCGGCCAGCAAUCGAUUUACGGCAAUUGUUUGCAAACUUGGAUACAAUGGUGACUCACGCAUGCAAACCUGUAUGCGAUGGUGAUUAUCAACGUAUUUUCUUUUAAAUGUUUACACAGGUUUUUCGGGAAACUUUGUUCUAGCUUAUAUGUCUGUUCUCUGUGAUACAAAUGCUUGAGCCCUUCGUUAUCAUCCAUGCAACCUACACCCGCGCUCUUGCAGACAUGAUAACAUCACCGUGAUAAUAUGAACGUCUCAGCACUUAUAAACAUUCAAACGCGAUCUCAAGCGUGAACCUACAGUCCCCCGCACUCGCGCGAUCAUGUAUCGGUCAAGUCAGGAAAUCUCUAUCCUCGAUUCCAGAAGUCUAGGUCCAUGCCUUCAAUUAAAUCAACUAAAAAGCUCUCAUACCCACUGGUCAACACGUUCCAUGUCGACAUGACCAGUGAUAGUGAUAUGGAGUAACUCACUCCCUGUCAGAAUGUGAUCCGCACACCGAAAACUAAAUAUCAGAAUGACGGUCCGCGUGGCCAUCCAAGAACACACUCAAAUAUGUGAAUGGUCAUAGAGUUACAAAAUCGAAUUUAUUCACGCGUAUUUUUUUGCUAUAAAAGCUCAUAACUUUUGAACUAAACGAGUUAUCUCAAAUCUGUCUAUAUAAACAAUAUUCGUCUCUUUAAGCUCUAAAAGUUUUGUGAAGACGCUAUUGAAGUAAAAAAAACAUUUAAAAAGUUAUAAUGUUCCGAAGACAUGAAAUUUCUAGAACCAGUAGCUUAGUCACAAAUGUUUUUCUCAUCCUAAAUUCUGGAAUCGGACCACUGCACAUUGGAAAAAUCUUCACGAAAAUCAAUCAGCAAUACUACCAAUUCCCCCAAAUACAUUGAUUACUUUUCAUGAGAUUUUUCCAUAUUUGGAUACUUGGAAAGUAUCAACCGCAGCAACUGGAAACCUCAGACAUUGAAAUGUACUUUUUUACAAAGCAGAAGCUCAAAGCUUGCUCUGCCUGCAGAUAGUCAAAAACGCAAACAUACCUCAUCGCCGCUGAAGUUUAUUGUAAGUUGACAGUAUUAGAGAAGCAAACCAAUGCUCAUGCAUAUACCAAAAAUAAACGAUCACACCAAACUGUUCCUGGUGAAUGCAUAAAUAAAAUAAAAUACUAUUUGCCAGGUACCUCUUCUACGAACCGGUCAUAAUAUUGGACCUAAACAUAACACAUCGAUUGGCUGAAGUAUUGAUGGAUAUCUCCGCCAUGCUACGUUUCUAAGGAAAAUCAUCCAAACGCUCAGCAUUACGAAGCUGCUGAUCAUGUUCUACAUAAAUCCGCUAGAUUUCAAAACACUGAAUCUUUCGAUACCAUGAUGGCGUUUCCGAGGUGCGUUUCAGCAUAUGUUGAGCAUGAGCUGGAACCGACUUGUCACGACCACGCAGGACCCGAAUAACAAAAAGCAAUGCGGAAAUCGACAUUACUCUCCUGACCGACUUGGCUUACUAAAUUUGCUUUUGACUGAAUAUUCCACGUGCCAUCCUACUAUCGUUGUACUUCAUUCUACGACAACCACUAAGAAAAAUCUAGGCCAAUCCAACUUGAUGCUAUAGGUGUUGAGCGGGUUCAUCACAUUUGGUAGUUUAUUCGUUUUCUUGGCACUUGUGAAGGACUUUCUUAGGAAAAACUGUUUAAACCUGAUCUACACGGUAGUCCACGCUGGUUACUAAUUAAGACACAUUAACCUGCCCAGAAGUUGCUCUCAUCCGAUCAUCGUGCUACUGCAAAAUUACAAUUGCAAACUCGUCCGAGUUGGAUGAGUCCCAUUGCUUCACGUAUGGCUUUCCUGUGUAUCAGGUUGGAUUUCGAAGUACCUUAUGUCUAUGUCACUAGAGCUGGCUGCUGCUGUAGAAGAGCACGAAUGCGAUGACGAAAACUAAGCCGAUUGCGAGGAAGAAUAGGAUGAGGAAACUUGCACAUGGCGAGAUUACACUGAUGAUGAAGGACAUGGUGGCACCGAUCUCGGCGGUCUUGCAAGCAUCGAGGACGAACUGCCUUCACGAGACGUUGAUUUGUCCAGCUAUAUUCACAUGGAUGCUGCGGAAAAUAUUCUAGCUCAUGAUCCCAACUCCGGAGGCACGUAUCGGAAGCGCAAGUUGACUGAGAAUCGGAUGUUGUUCAGAAGCGGCACCGGUCGUACUAUAGGAUCCGAAACCGUAGGGAAUAACUGUGACAACGCAAGGUCGGAGUCCCUCAACUUUAGUAGUAUGAAACGGUUAGCUUUAGAUUCGCCGAGAACUUUACUCUGUCCGUCUAAUCUUACUUCAACGCCAACAUCCUAAACGAUGAGAUAGCGAAAGACUUUCCGAAGCAUAAUUCUCCUCCCGAGGUAAACGAUUCGUUGCAACACUUCCAGCGAUGGACUCCCGUCAAACGUCUGGUGGCAGUAGAUCUGCUGACCGAACAUUACGGCCCGACCCAGGUGCGGCACAUGAUGACGGUUAUCGAAUCCCAAUUCCCGCGAGAUUUUAUUUUACUUGCUCUGAAGGAGCUCGCACUUCAAGUGCUGUUCUACCUGGAACCAAGAGAAGGAAAAUAGCAAGGAAGCUGCCAUCGUGAUGGAAGCGAUGGGAGGUGACCGUCAGAAACGGGGCUAUGCCAGCAAUAUGCCUCCCAUUUCGUCCCAAUGGAAAGUGGCGUACAUGCGGCAAUCCGGUUCCGACGACAAUACGUUCAAAGUGUGGUUUGCCAACACCGGAAAGUACCUUCGAACAUUGGUUAACCACACAGGUGGAGUCUGGUUGUCACAAAUGGCCGGAGACAUAAUCAUCUUCGGCAGUACUGACCGCAGGUUGAAGGUGUGGAACGCUGAAACUGGCCAACUGUUACAUACGCUAUAUGGCCACACUUAGACUGCUCGUUGUAUGCAUUUACACGGAAAUAAAGUCAUCAGUGGCUCUCGCGAUGCGACUCUACAAAUUUGUGCCGUAGGAUCACGCAACGGUACGGAAGAAAUCAAACUAAUGGUACUCGAUUUUGAUGUGGAGGGUGCCUGCUUGACAUGCUCAUAAGUAUACUUGAAAAAAUCUGACGCUAAUAAAAAAUUUGAAGCAAAAAAUAUUGCUGUUUUUGUUUUUAUUUGAAAUAAAAAGAAAACCCAAACGAAUAAAAUAAGAAGAAGAAAAGCAAAAUAAGGAGCACGACGAUCGCCCGAUUUUCUAUAGUUCGACAUCGGGCUCACGUCGGUCCGAUUACGUCGAUGCGUUUGACAUAUUCGAAGGUUGACGCGGUUUAUGCAAAUGGUGCAAAAUUGC
This is a long non-coding RNA of Topomyia yanbarensis, 6458 nucleotides long. RefSeq lists it as uncharacterized. The transcript is spliced from 3 exons. NCBI's taxonomy places the organism in Eukaryota, Metazoa, Arthropoda, Insecta, Diptera, Culicidae. The record is from RefSeq and is a predicted model, not a curated record.